Molecule: long non-coding RNA, 1766 nt
Organism: Metopolophium dirhodum (rose-grain aphid)
Lineage: Eukaryota; Metazoa; Arthropoda; Insecta; Hemiptera; Aphididae
Exons: 7
Source: RefSeq, a predicted model, not a curated record
CUGUAGUGACUUACCGAACCGUUAUCGCACUGUUAACCGCUAACGGCUCUGUAAAUAAAAGUGGGUGUUGCUUGAACGCCCGAUAGCGGUAACGGCUCUGUAAACUAUAGACUACUGGACCUGUAAAAUACAGAUCGGAUUUUGGUUCUGUAACUUACAGAUCGAUUAAUUAUACGAAUGUUAUCAAUGUUAUUGGUGACAAUUUUGAUACUGAAUUGUUUAUUUAAUUAUUUGUUUUGACUCAAUAAUUAAAUAUUUUCAUUUUUCAUUGUUUCUUUUUAAAAUUAAUAAUCAAUGGAUUCGUCGGCUUCAUCUUCAUCUAGUGAUGAUGAAUUAUUUAUUAUUGAUGUUUUACAAUUGCUACCAAGACCACGAUUUUUUCGAGACAGGUCUAAUCCACUGGCAGAUUAUGAUGAUGUAAAUGUGUUGUGCUUAAUAAUUAUUAUUUUCUGUAAAAAUUUUUUUUCUAUACAUUAUUGGUCUAUAUACCACUUUAAAUUUUGUAAAAGGGCUAGUCCCGUUGAAUUCUAAAUAAAUAAGUAAAUAAAUAAAUAACAUUUGUGACGUCCCACUAAUCAAGCGUAUACAGACUGUCCGCCAACCGUGAAAGUUAACGUUAUCGGGUAAACAUAGGUAGUUCUAAUGUCAUAUCGGUGCGCCCGCACCAGCUGCAGCUCGUUUCCAUGUUUUUCAGAGGUUCGGACUUCAGAUAAUACAUGGGUUUUGCGAAACGUUUUCCAAGUUUCCCACCCGUGUCCAGCUGACCACCGAGCCAAGCGCCAACUCACGUCUCACGCAUCGUCACGAAGUAAUGGAUAGACAUUAUCAAUCUGCUCUUGAAGAAACUGCAACAGACGCUGGAGAAUUAUCAAAACAAGAAAUAUUGAAAAAAUCAUAUACCUAACCGUAGUGUAAAUUAUUCAUCUUCAGAUUCUAAAGAUAAGCAGAAACGUCAUCGUUUGAGGAGGAGUAGUAACUAUGAUAAAUGGAACCAACAAAAUGAACCAUAUUAUUAUAAAAAAACAAGAAAAAGUGGUACCUAUCCGUGAUCACCGAUUCAGUAGAACACCAUCUAUUAGAAAUAAAGAUGAACCUUCAAUUCCUAAUGUCAGACUUCAAGAUAUACCAAUUAGAACUACUUGAGAUGAAGAUAAUCAAAAUAUGUCUUAAUAUAAAUCUACUUGGGACAUGCCCACCCAUAUCAAGUAUUGAUGAUGAUUACUUAAACACCAAGAUUUACGCCAGCGUAGAAGUAUAACAAGUAGGAUAGUAAUCGUGGUUCAGGAGCUACACCUAAUACUGGAAAAGAUCAUUAGACGAUUUACUAAUAAGUACUGUUGCUGAAAACCUAAGAACCAAUCUAGAGCUAACACCGUGUUGUUACUGAAAUCAUUAGGAAUUCAAGACUUACUCCAGUUUCAUUUUAUGGACCCUACAGCCUCCUCCACAAGAAACAUUUUUAAUUCUUUAUAUCAGUUGUAGGUACUGGGAGCACAGGAUCAGAAACUUUCACAAAACCAAAAAAAUUAGUAUAAAUAUGAUAGGCAAAUACAAAUGUAAAUUUAACAAUAUUAGCCAUAUUACAAAAUGUUUAAAAUUUAGUUUGUAUUCAAUUUAGUUAUACUAUAGGCAAUAAAAAUAACAUAUUAUUAUGUACAUUGAUAUAAUAGUCAAAAAUAUAUAUAUACCAUAGUUAAAUACAUAUUAUUUAUGUUUCUAAUUUAAUUACUUUGCAACGUAUUGAUAUCCAAAUUAUACCACACUUA